Molecule: ribosomal RNA, 420 nt
Filed under: uncultured Eubacteriales bacterium
Lineage: Bacteria; Bacillati; Bacillota; Clostridia; Eubacteriales
Description: bacterial SSU rRNA
Rfam family: Bacterial small subunit ribosomal RNA
Source: RNAcentral
CAGCAGUGGGGAAUAUUGGGCAAUGGGCGCAAGCCUGACCCAGCAACGCCGCGUGAGGGAAGAAGGUUUUCGGAUUGUAAACCUCUGUCGCAGGGGACGAAGGAAGUGACGGUACCCUGUAAGAAAGCCCCGGCUAACUACGUGCCAGCAGCCGCGGUAAUACGUAGGGGGCGAGCGUUGUCCGGAAUUACUGGGCGUAAAGGGAGCGUAGGCGGUCGAUUAAGUUAGAUGUGAAACCCCCGGGCUUAACUUGGGGACUGCAUCUAAUACUGGUUGACUUAGAGUACAGGAGAGGGAAGCGGAAUUCCUAGUGUAGCGGUGAAAUGCGUAGAUAUUAGGAGGAACACCAGUGGCGAAGGCGGCUUUCUGGACUGACACUGACGCUGAGGCUCGAAAGCGUGGGGAGCAAACAGGAUUAGA